Molecule: long non-coding RNA, 580 nt
Organism: Daphnia pulicaria
Lineage: Eukaryota; Metazoa; Arthropoda; Branchiopoda; Diplostraca; Daphniidae
Exons: 3
Source: RefSeq, a predicted model, not a curated record
AGAAAAUUUUAAUUUUGACUUUGUGAAACCUGUUUCGACUUCGAAACCUGCUAUCAUAACUCAUACUUAGAAAUUAGAAUAGAAUAAGUCUUUAUUUAGUUAGAAUGAAUUAAUUUAACAAUGAUGUCAAUCAGUCUUUCACACGCUUAGAUUUAUUUCAGAAAGAAGAAUGACAGUGAGCUGCAGUCAGCAUGCUGCUCUAAAAAUAAAAGAUGAUUUGCAAACUAACAUUCUAGACAAGUGGAAGCAAGAAUCUCCUUUCUCAGAACGUGAGAUACCCAGCACUGUUUACUUGGAUUAUUUCGGGAGGGCACUCACCCAGUCUUGCAAGUAUUUAGAAGCAUUACAACCCUUCUUUAGAUCAUUAGAAUUUAUUUUUCCAAUACUACAUUAACAGAUCCACAUUAACAAUUAGCAAGUAGACUUUUCAAGCUUUCGAUGUUAUAGCUCUGCAUUUUCAAGCUUUCCCUGAAAAGGUAUUUCUAAAUCAGCGAAUUACCCAUUGAGGAUUGUGAGAGCAAAACCACGGUCGAAAUGUCAUUUUUCUAACCCCCCAUUGCCCAUGGCAUUCCCCAUUUUG